AUGUCACAUUCCGUAAAAAUUUACGAUACAUGUAUAGGAUGCACUCAAUGUGUACGAGCUUGUCCAACAGAUGUAUUAGAAAUGAUACCCUGGGAUGGAUGUAAAGCUAAGCAAAUUGCUUCCGCGCCGAGAACCGAAGAUUGUGUGGGUUGUAAGAGAUGUGAAUCUGCCUGCCUGACAGAUUUUUUAAGUGUCCGCGUUUAUUUAGGGCUUAUAUAA
RNAcentral lists this ribosomal RNA (219 nucleotides) under Triticum aestivum (bread wheat). RNAcentral's name for it is "partial small subunit ribosomal RNA". The record is from RNAcentral. Lineage: Eukaryota; Viridiplantae; Streptophyta; Magnoliopsida; Poales; Poaceae.